UGAAGAGCCAGGCCAGGGUGACUGCGACCCUCGUGGAGCAUGCGCAGCCAGGAGGAUAUAGAUGGGAAGGAUUGGGGAAGAGUGGCCAGAGCUCCUCUCUGGGGAUCUCUUCACCAGUGAAGAAACCAUCUGAAAGGAAGAAGGGUCCUUGGCUGAUUGUGAUGGAUUCUCAGCUCCCAUCCAGC
This 185-nucleotide long non-coding RNA is filed under the name Fukomys damarensis (Damara mole-rat). Its description in RNAcentral is "lncRNA (ENSFDAG00000022476.1)". The record is from RNAcentral. Lineage: Eukaryota; Metazoa; Chordata; Mammalia; Rodentia; Bathyergidae.